AAUCAACGCUGGCGGCGUGCCUAACACAUGCAAGUCGAACGCGAAAGGGGAGCAAUCCCUGAUUAGAGUGGCAAACGGGUGAGUAACACGUGGGUGACCUGCCUUCGAGUGGGGGAUAACCUUCCGAAGGAGGGCUAAUACCGCAUGACAUACCGUGUUUGGAUACACGGAUAUCAAAGACCGGGGAUCGCAAGACCUGGCGCUUGGAGAGGGGCCCGCGUCCGAUUAGCUAGNGGUGAGGUAACGGCUCACCAAGGCUCCGAUCGGUAUCCGGCCUGAGAGGGCGGACGGACACACUGGAACUGAGACACGGUCCAGACUCCUACGGGAGGCAGCAGUGGGGAAUUGUUCGCAAUGGGCGAAAGCCUGACGACGCAACGCCGCGUGGAGGAUGAAGAAUUUCGGUUCGU
Molecule: ribosomal RNA, 410 nt
Filed under: uncultured bacterium
Lineage: Bacteria
Description: bacterial SSU rRNA
Rfam family: Bacterial small subunit ribosomal RNA
Source: RNAcentral